RNAcentral lists this long non-coding RNA (681 nucleotides) under Androctonus crassicauda. Lineage: Eukaryota; Metazoa; Arthropoda; Arachnida; Scorpiones; Buthidae. The record is from RNAcentral.
ACUUCACAUAAAUAUGCAUUGCGCAGUAGAGGUACAGUACCGGACGAACAAUGGAUACUUCCUACAUCCACUCAUUCUAGAAUACCAAAAUAUACGAACUAGCAAACAACAAUUAAUUCUAGUAAUACAUACAUACAUGUAUAUUGAAUUUAGAUAGAAUGGUAUAAUUCAAAGAAACAACUACAAAUAAUUUAUUUACAGAACAGGAAGACUAACGACAAUGAAUGGAAGUUUAAUUAUUCUAUCAACGUUAAUGGUACUUAAUGUUAUGAGCGACAAUACAAUGUUAAAAAAGGUGUCAUCUUUGCGAAUCAAGGAAAUUUUCUCCUCACGACCAGUCGUUGGAAUCUUGUCGUUGACAUCAGAUUCGAGGAAUACGAUGUUCAACUCCUCCGACUGCGAAAACAUCUUAAUAAAUUGCGCCGAAUAAUCAAAGGACCUCGAAUAAGAUCAACAGGAUUAACGAGCAUACUUUGGAACUAUACCGCUACUGAAGUGGGAAACUUAAAUCGAAUUCUAAAGGACCAGUACAAUGAAUAUCAAGAUUUAAAGGCAUUAGUUACAUUAGAUAAGACAGAGAAAAACGAAAGAGCUUUAAUUGACGUAGGAGGGGAUAUAUUAAAAUUCCUAUUUGGAACAGCCACGACUAAGGAAGUGGAAGAUCUUAACGCGAGAUCGGAA